This 253-nucleotide ribosomal RNA is filed under the name uncultured bacterium. RNAcentral's name for it is "partial 16S ribosomal RNA". It matches the Rfam family "Bacterial small subunit ribosomal RNA", at positions 524 to 776 of the family's 1533-position model. The record is from RNAcentral.
UACGGGGGGGGCAAGCGUUGUUCGGAAUUACUGGGCGUAAAGGGCUCGUAGGUGGCCAAUUAAGUCAGACGUGAAAUCCCCAGGCUUAACCUGGGAACUGCGUCUGAUACUGGUUGGCUUGAAUUCGGGAGAGGGAUGCAGAAUUCCAGGUGUAGCGGUGAAAUGCGUAGAUAUCUGGAGGAACACCGGUGGCGAAGGCGGCAUCCUGGACCGAUAUUGACGCUGAUGCGCGAAAGCCAGGGGAGCAAACGGG